Molecule: ribosomal RNA, 253 nt
Filed under: uncultured Eubacteriales bacterium
Lineage: Bacteria; Bacillati; Bacillota; Clostridia; Eubacteriales
Description: uncultured Clostridiales bacterium partial 16S ribosomal RNA
Rfam family: Bacterial small subunit ribosomal RNA
Source: RNAcentral
UACGGAGGAUGCGAGCGUUAUCCGGAUUUAUUGGGUUUAAAGGGUGCGUAGGUGGUUUGACAAGUUGGUAGCGUAACUCCGAGGCUUAACCUCGGCACUACUACCAAAACUGUUGGACUCGAGUGCAGGAGGGGCAAAUGGAAUUCCUAGUGUAGCGGUGGAAUGCGUAGAUAUUAGGAGGAACACCAGUGGCGAAGGCGAUUUGCUGGACUGUAACUGACACUGAGGCACGAAAGCGUGGGGAGCAAACAGG